UACGUAGGGACCAAGCGUUGUUCGGAUUUACUGGGCGUAAAGGGCGCGUAGGCGGCGCGGUAAGUCACUUGUGAAAUCUCUGAGCUUAACUCAGAACGGCCAAGUGAUACUGCAGUGCUAGAGUGUGGAAGGGGCAAUCGGAAUUCUUGGUGGAGCGGUGAAAUGCGUAGAGAUCAAGAGGAACACCGGUGGCGAAGGCGGCCCUCUGGUCCAUUACUGACGCUGAGGCGCGAAAGCUAGGGGAGCAAACGGG
This 253-nucleotide ribosomal RNA is filed under the name uncultured bacterium. RNAcentral describes it as "partial 16S ribosomal RNA". It matches the Rfam family "Bacterial small subunit ribosomal RNA", at positions 524 to 776 of the family's 1533-position model. The record is from RNAcentral.